This 505-nucleotide ribosomal RNA is filed under the name uncultured bacterium. RNAcentral describes it as "partial 16S ribosomal RNA". It matches the Rfam family "Bacterial small subunit ribosomal RNA", at positions 28 to 507 of the family's 1533-position model. The record is from RNAcentral.
GACGAACGCUGGCGGCGUGCCUAAUACAUGCAAGUAGAACGCACAGUUUAUACCGUAGCUUGCUACACCAUAGACUGUGAGUUGCGAACGGGUGAGUAACGCGUAGGUAACCUGCCUGGUAGCGGGGGAUAACUAUUGGAAACGAUAGCUAAUACCGCAUAAUAUUGAUUAUUGCAUGAUAAUUGAUUGAAAGAUGCUAUUGCAUCACUACCAGAUGGACCUGCGUUGUAUUAGCUAGUAGGUGAGGUAACGGCUCACCUAGGCGACGAUACAUAGCCGACCUGAGAGGGGGAUCGGCCACACUGGGACUGAGACACGGCCCAGACUCCUACGGGAGGCAGCAGUAGGGAAUCUUCGGCAAUGGACGAAAGGCUGACCGAGCAACGCCGCGUGAGUGAAGAAGGUUUUCGGAUCGGAAAGAUCUGUUGUAAGAGAAGAACGGGUGUGAGAGUGGAAGGUUCACACUGUGACGGUAUCUUACCAGAAAGGGACGGCUAACUACGUG